GCUUAGCCAUAAAACAUUCACCCACACUUAACCCGCCAGGAAAUUACGAGCCAAGCUUAAAAUCCAAAGGACUUGACGGUGCCCCAUCCAUCUAGAGGAGCCUGUUCCAUAAUCGAUCUUCCCCGAUCAACCUUACCGUUUCUUGACACCCCCUCCCCCAGUCUGUAUACCUCCGUCGCAAGCUUACCAUAUGACUGCGCAUAAUGGGCUAAACGAGUUUAACACCCCACACGACAGGUCAAGGUGCAGCCUACGAAACGGAAAAAAAUGGGCUACAAUUUCUNUUCUAGAACAAACAGAAAACUACAUGAAAUCUAGUAAUUAAGGAGGAUUUAGUAGUAAAAAGAAAAUAGAGCGUCUUUUUAAUUAGGCUAUGGGCAAGU
This 383-nucleotide ribosomal RNA is filed under the name Copiula sp. KMK-1998. RNAcentral's name for it is "partial 12S ribosomal RNA". It matches the Rfam family "Bacterial small subunit ribosomal RNA", at positions 875 to 1384 of the family's 1533-position model. Lineage: Eukaryota; Metazoa; Chordata; Amphibia; Anura; Microhylidae. The record is from RNAcentral.